RNAcentral lists this long non-coding RNA (1363 nucleotides) under Marmota monax (woodchuck). The record is from RNAcentral. Lineage: Eukaryota; Metazoa; Chordata; Mammalia; Rodentia; Sciuridae.
AGGUUUAACCUAUCACUACAUUAAUCCCCUGAUAGGGAUUAACUGGAUGGUAACUGUAGGUAGAUAGGGUAGAGCUAGAAGAAGUGGGUCCCUGGGGAUAGGCCUUUGGGGUAUGCUUUCUGGUGUGACAUCUUGAGCCUCGUUCCUCCGCCACAUUCUGUUCUGCUUCACCCCAAGCCCUGAGGAAUGGAGCCAGCUGUCUAUCAACUGAGACCUUUGAAACUGUGAGUCCCCAAGUAAACUUUGCCUCCUUUAAAAUUGUUGUUGUCAGGUCUUUUGUUCACAGCAGUGAAAAAUUUAACUAAAACACUAAUCCACAUUUAAAUAUAUGUUUAAUAUGAACAUACACAUUUCACAUGUAUGUAUCUUUUAAUGCAUACCAUUUUGAUUUAAUUAGAAAAUACUACAAGGAGCGGAGAGCUAAUCUUUUUUAAAAAGUGAUCAUUAGUCAGGCAUGGUGGCACACAACUGUAAUCCCAGUGAUUCGGGAGGCUGAGGCAGGAGAAUCACAAGUUCGUUCAAAGCCGCACUUGGCAAAUUAGCGAGGCCCUAAGCAACUUAGUAAGAUCCUGUCUCAAAAAUAAAUAAAUUAAUUAAAAAGGCUGGGGAAGUGACUCAGUGGUUAAGCACCCCUGAGUUCAAUCCCUGGUACAAAUAACAAGAAAAGUAGUGGUUAAGUGCAGCUAGCAUAUCCAAAGCCCUAAGUUCAAUCCCCAGCACCCCCCCACCCCAAAAAAAGAGGGAGAUGAGGUGGUUAGCAGAAGACUUGUGGGGCUCAAAAAGAAUUGUGAUUAAACUAAUACAUAUAUAUAUAUAUAUAUGAAUUUUUAUAUAAAUUGAGAGUUAUAGUGCUAUCACUCUGAUUGUUUUCUUUCUCGGAGCUUUCCCUUCCUCCCACUCAUACCCCAGAAAGGCCCUCUUUGUCUCACCAAGUUGGAAUUAAUUUACACUCGUCUACCUGUAGAAUCUGAAGUAGAUGCUCACUUGCUGAUCCAGACAUUUCUCCCAGUCACUCCAGAAGGGAAGUCAGAGAAGCAGAGUGAGAGAUGAAGUGGGAGUGCAGACUAACAGACACUUUGAACAUAGUAGAACUUCUAGAGAGCAGGAAAGAGCCCAAUUGUCCUGGUCAUGCACUUCCUACCAUCUGUCUGUCACCUGUGGACAAUGUGCCAGUUAACAGUUCUGCACACUUUUAAGUUCCACUCAAGAAAAGGUAGGAAACUUGGAUACCCAGGUGGGUUUGGGAAUCACAAAGAGGUACUCUUGCCCCUGACCUGGAUGAAACUGAACUGAAACUCCUUGUUCAUGUGUGAGAUUCCUGUAUAAACAGACAAAGCUCCUCUGUCACUACUACAGAAGAAAG